RNAcentral lists this microRNA (22 nucleotides) under Eptatretus burgeri (inshore hagfish). RNAcentral's name for it is "Ebu-Mir-15-P1e_5p (mature (guide))". Lineage: Eukaryota; Metazoa; Chordata; Myxini; Myxiniformes; Myxinidae. The record is from RNAcentral.
UAGCAGCACGUCAUGGUUUGUA